RNAcentral lists this ribosomal RNA (2617 nucleotides) under Salmonella enterica subsp. enterica serovar Paratyphi B. Its description in RNAcentral is "partial 23S ribosomal RNA". It matches the Rfam family "Bacterial large subunit ribosomal RNA", at positions 161 to 2716 of the family's 2925-position model. Lineage: Bacteria; Pseudomonadati; Pseudomonadota; Gammaproteobacteria; Enterobacterales; Enterobacteriaceae. The record is from RNAcentral.
AAUCCAUAGGUUAAUGAGGCGAACCGGGGGAACUGAAACAUCUAAGUACCCCGAGGAAAAGAAAUCAACCGAGAUUCCCCCAGUAGCGGCGAGCGAACGGGGAGGAGCCCAGAGCCUGAAUCAGCAUGUGUGUUAGUGGAAGCGUCUGGAAAGGCGCGCGAUACAGGGUGACAGCCCCGUACACAAAAGCGCAUGUGCUGUGAGCUCGAUGAGUAGGGCGGGACACGUGGUAUCCUGUCUGAAUAUGGGGGGACCAUCCUCCAAGGCUAAAUACUCCUGACUGACCGAUAGUGAACCAGUACCGUGAGGGAAAGGCGAAAAGAACCCCGGCGAGGGGAGUGAAAAAGAACCUGAAACCGUGUACGUACAAGCAGUGGGAGCACCCUUUGGGGUGUGACUGCGUACCUUUUGUAUAAUGGGUCAGCGACUUAUAUUCUGUAGCAAGGUUAACCGAAUAGGGGAGCCGGAGGGAAACCGAGUCUUAAUUGGGCGUUAAGUUGCAGGGUAUAGACCCGAAACCCGGUGAUCUAGCCAUGGGCAGGUUGAAGGUUGGGUAACACUAACUGGAGGACCGAACCGACUAAUGUUGAAAAAUUAGCGGAUGACCUGUGGCUGGGGGUGAAAGGCCAAUCAAACCGGGAGAUAGCUGGUUCUCCCCGAAAGCUAUUUAGGUAGCGCCUCGUGAAUUCAUCUCCGGGGGUAGAGCACUGUUUCGGCUAGGGGGCCAUCCCGGCUUACCAACCCGAUGCAAACUGCGAAUACCGGAGAAUGUUAUCACGGGAGACACACGGCGGGUGCUAACGUCCGUCGUGAAGAGGGAAACAACCCAGACCGCCAGCUAAGGUCCCAAAGUCAUGGUUAAGUGGGAAACGAUGUGGGAAGGCCCAGACAGCCAGGAUGUUGGCUUAGAAGCAGCCAUCAUUUAAAGAAAGCGUAAUAGCUCACUGGUCGAGUCGGCCUGCGCGGAAGAUGUAACGGGGCUAAACCAUGCACCGAAGCUGCGGCAGCGAACGUAUCACCCAAGACAACUUUACGGAGUUGACGAUUGACGGAGCGAAGCGACGUCAAAGCGUUCAUUAAAGUCGAGUUGGCUUAGGGAUACGUUCGUUGGGUAGGGGAGCGUUCUGUAAGCCUGUGAAGGUGGCCUGUGAGGGUUGCUGGAGGUAUCAGAAGUGCGAAUGCUGACAUAAGUAACGAUAAAGCGGGUGAAAAGCCCGCUCGCCGGAAGACCAAGGGUUCCUGUCCAACGUUAAUCGGGGCAGGGUGAGUCGACCCCUAAGGCGAGGCCGAAAGGCGUAGUCGAUGGGAAACGGGUUAAUAUUCCCGUACUUGGUGUUACUGCGAAGGGGGGACGGAGAAGGCUAUGUUGGCCGGGCGACGGUUGUCCCGGUUUAAGCGUGUAGGUGUGUGUUCCAGGUAAAUCCGGUUCACUUUAACACUGAGGCGUGACGACGAGGCACUACGGUGCUGAAGCAACAAAUGCCCUGCUUCCAGGAAAAGCCUCUAAGCAUCAGGUAACAUCAAAUCGUACCCCAAACCGACACAGGUGGUCAGGUAGAGAAUACCAAGGCGCUUGAGAGAACUCGGGUGAAGGAACUAGGCAAAAUGGUGCCGUAACUUCGGGAGAAGGCACGCUGACACGUAGGUGAAGUGAUUUACUCAUGGAGCUGAAGUCAGUCGAAGAUACCAGCUGGCUGCAACUGUUUAUUAAAAACACAGCACUGUGCAAACACGAAAGUGGACGUAUACGGUGUGACGCCUGCCCGGUGCCGGAAGGUUAAUUGAUGGGGUCAGCGCAAGCGAAGCUCCUGAUCGAAGCCCCGGUAAACGGCGGCCGUAACUAUAACGGUCCUAAGGUAGCGAAAUUCCUUGUCGGGUAAGUUCCGACCUGCACGAAUGGCGUAAUGAUGGCCAGGCUGUCUCCACCCGAGACUCAGUGAAAUUGAACUCGCUGUGAAGAUGCAGUGUACCCGCGGCAAGACGGAAAGACCCCGUGAACCUUUACUAUAGCUUGACACUGAACAUUGAGCCUUGAUGUGUAGGAUAGGUGGGAGGCUUUGAAGUGUGGACGCCAGUCUGCAUGGAGCCGACCUUGAAAUACCACCCUUUAAUGUUUGAUGUUCUAACGUGGACCCGUAAUCCGGGUUGCGGACAGUGUCUGGUGGGUAGUUUGACUGGGGCGGUCUCCUCCUAAAGAGUAACGGAGGAGCACGAAGGUUGGCUAAUCCUGGUCGGACAUCAGGAGGUUAGUGCAAUGGCAUAAGCCAGCUUGACUGCGAGCGUGACGGCGCGAGCAGGUGCGAAAGCAGGUCAUAGUGAUCCGGUGGUUCUGAAUGGAAGGGCCAUCGCUCAACGGAUAAAAGGUACUCCGGGGAUAACAGGCUGAUACCGCCCAAGAGUUCAUAUCGACGGCGGUGUUUGGCACCUCGAUGUCGGCUCAUCACAUCCUGGGGCUGAAGUAGGUCCCAAGGGUAUGGCUGUUCGCCAUUUAAAGUGGUACGCGAGCUGGGUUUAGAACGUCGUGAGACAGUUCGGUCCCUAUCUGCCGUGGGCGCUGGAGAACUGAGGGGGGCUGCUCCUAGUACGAGAGGACCGGAGUGGACGCAUCACUGGUGUU